AAGAAGAGAGGCAUAGCAUGAGAAUAUAUCAUAGACUCGUGUGGGCACCAAGGAUGAAUUGCCCGCAAAUCCCAAAAUGUUAAGUUGUUUUUGGGUGCAGUUCGUCCUUGGUUCUGACAGUCUCUUGUUUCUCAUGCUAGGCCUUUCUCUUCU
This 153-nucleotide small RNA is filed under the name Manihot esculenta (cassava). Its description in RNAcentral is "precursor microRNA miR169aj". The record is from RNAcentral. Lineage: Eukaryota; Viridiplantae; Streptophyta; Magnoliopsida; Malpighiales; Euphorbiaceae.